Long non-coding RNA from Nicotiana attenuata, 1259 nucleotides. RefSeq lists it as uncharacterized. The record is from RefSeq and is a predicted model, not a curated record. The transcript has 3 exons. NCBI's taxonomy places the organism in Eukaryota, Viridiplantae, Streptophyta, Magnoliopsida, Solanales, Solanaceae.
CCUGCUUGCCGACCAAGGGCUAUUUGGUCAUUUUAGUCCAGCUGUAUAUUGAAUUGUCUACUAUGUCCCUUGUGACUGUUACUGAAUCCUGAUUAGAAUAGGGAUUUCUAUGGUCAAUUUGCAGUCCACCGCUUCUCACUCUUCACCUUUCUGAUCUUUUUCUUCCUUCAGUUAUACAAGUUUCAGUCCGUUUCCUUUGCGGAUUUGCACCACUUUUGUACUCAUCGGUUCUUGAUGUUGUGUCAUUUUCUUGAACAAAGAGAAAUUGGGGUUUCGGCUGAGUUUCUCUGCCGCCCAAAGUCUCCACAUCGUCUAACCACAAAAGCUGGUUUCUUCUUCUCCAGUUCUAUUUCCGCCAUUAGCUAGAGGAAUAUCUUAUAUUUCGAUUUUAAGGAACUGAAUUAUCGGUUUAUGAAAUUGGAGUUGGUGGUGAUAUCUAAGGCUCUGAAUGCUUCGACAACUUCGUCAAUUGGGUGGUAAAGUGAGUUGCCGUUGAAUUUCCAGAAGAUUAGGAGAAGUAAGGAGAGGUUCUCGGUGGUAAGAGUUAAGCUACGGUGGAGCAAACUGAAACUGAAGGUUUACUAGCUUGUAUGAUAAGAGAGAGGAAGGAAACUAUCAGUAUGAGUAGAUUGACUUCUGCUUAAAUUCUCAUGUCUUGCUGACUACAACAAAUGCUUGUCCUCGCAUUCAUCAGCUGAGGUAAUGCUAAACUUAACUUUUCUACUACACUUGCAACUAUAUGCUGAUUUGUUUUAUUUUUUGAAUGAUACAUGUUCGGGUGUUGUUGUGAAUUAUCUCCAUUGAAGAAAUACGCCAUUAAAUUUUGCUGAAGAUGGAUAAUUUUUCCAUAUAAGACAAAUGAAGCAUUCCGUAGGCAGAUAGACCUUGGAAUGAGGAAAUACUGGAUAAUGUGACUCGAAGCUGUGAAAAGGGAUUGUGCUGCUGUUCUUUUAUCUACAAAAUGGCUUUUUUGCCGUAAACUUAACCUUCGCUCAACUUAAACUACCACUUCUAUGUAAAAAGAACUAAGAAAAUUGAAUAUGAAAGUUGAGCAAGGAAUGACUAAUGUCUUCCUGCCGUCUACUAUUGUUCUUGUAAUAGGUCUUAUGUCAUUGAGCCCGGGCUUGUCUGGCCAAUCCCAUCUAGUUACCUAUAUAUAUGCUCAGCAACAAAUAUUAAAAUGUAAUAACGAGUCAAGUGUCCUCCACGUUUCGCUUGCAAGGUUAUGUUCAAUUGUUCAUAGCAUUAACACCGUCCAC